Long non-coding RNA from Rosa chinensis, 908 nucleotides. RefSeq lists it as uncharacterized. NCBI's taxonomy places the organism in Eukaryota, Viridiplantae, Streptophyta, Magnoliopsida, Rosales, Rosaceae. The record is from RefSeq and is a predicted model, not a curated record. The transcript has 4 exons.
AAUAGAAGAGCCGGCUGGGUGGCUCAUUCUCUGUUCCACACCCCUGCAUGAGAUGAUUAAAGUGAGUGGCCGAUUUCACCCCUGCAUUUUUGUGCAAUUCACUGAUCCACCCAAAUGUUUUCUUUCCUCCACGUAAUGCCUCAUUUGCUGAAUUGCUGGGUGGGUUCUACACUUCUACCGACCCGGAGAAAAUGAGAGAGAGGAGAACAUGGGAAGAAAGGAAGGAAGAAAUUCAGAAAGAGAAACAGAGAGGUGGAGAGAAUUGUUGGGUUGAUAGAGAGCGAAAGACAGAGAGGCGUUGUUGAGAUGGUUAUUCGUUUUGAGGCUUAUGGAUUUUCAGAGAGAAUGAGCGCAUUAUUGAAGCAAAUUGGCUGAGAACCGUAUGGAAUCAAAAACGGUGGUGAAUUGGUAGAAGAUGAAGGGGAACCUUCUGCUUCUCUCAGUGAGGAGAAAAAAGAGAAUCAUGCUCAACUGCUUUGCCCUUCCUCCUCAUUGGUCUGAAGUUUCCAUUGGUGCCUUUCCUAAAGAUGCCUCAGAAGAAGAGUUGAUGGAGCUAUGCAGUGAAAUAGGCAAAAUCGUUAAGGGCAAGCAUUACCCCUGGAACUGUGUUGAUCAUUCUGGCUUGAAGAUUCAAGGGCAAGACGGUUGUCUUUUUGAAGCAGCUUUCUUUUGGUAAUUGUUAAGUUUUGUUUUUCUCAACUGAGUGAGAAAAUGUUUUUGCUUUCGGUUACCAAGUAGUGCUUUUGUAUUCAUGUCCCUGUGAUCAAUGUACAUGUAGUUUGAGCGUCAUUGUGCUACAGAUUUUAGAAUAUGUAAAACAACACCGUUUAUUGUACUAAGCUCAUUAAGAAUAAAGUCACAAGUCAACCAUGUGGAUAUUGAAUACUUACAAACUAGCUUUAUGUAUA